AGUGAACGCUGGCGGUAGGCCUAACACAUGCAAGUCGCACGGCAGCACAGUAAGAGCUUGCUCUUACGGGUGGCGAGUGGCGGACGGGUGAGGAAUACAUCGGAAUCUACUUUUUCGUGGGGGAUAACGUAGGGAAACUUACGCUAAUACCGCAUACGACCUACGGGUGAAAGCAGGGGAUCUUCGGCCCUUGCGCGAUUGAAUGAGCCGAUGUCGGAUUAGCUAGUUGGCGGGGUAAAGGCCCACCAAGGCGACGAUCCGUAGCUGGUCUGAGAGGAUGAUCCGCCACACUGGAACUGAGCCACGGUCCAGACUCCUACGGGAGGCAGCAGUGGGCAAUAUUGGACAAUGGGCGCAAGCCUGAUCCAGCCAUACCGCGUGGGUGAAGAAGGCCUUCGGGUUGUAAAGCCCUUUUGUUGGGAAAGAAAAGCAGCAGGUUAAUACCCCGCUGUUCUGACGGUACCCAAAGAAUAAGCACCGGCUAACUUCGUG
Molecule: ribosomal RNA, 492 nt
Filed under: uncultured bacterium
Lineage: Bacteria
Description: partial 16S ribosomal RNA
Rfam family: Bacterial small subunit ribosomal RNA
Source: RNAcentral